CCCCUAGAUGUUCUGGGACGCACGCGCGCUACACUGAACAGUUCAACAAGUCUUAACCUUGGCCGAUAGGUCUGGGUAAUCUUUGAACGCUGUUCGUGAUUGGGAUAGACCUUUGCAAUUAUGGGUCUUCAACGAGGAAUUCCUAGUAAACGCAAGUCAUCAGCUUGCAUUGAUUACGUCCCUGCCCUUUGUACACACCGCCCGUCGCACCUACCGAUUGAAUGGUCCGGUGAAAUCUCGGGACGGCGGCUUGGUCGCUUGCGUCCGACUGCUGAAACUUGAUUAAACCAUAUCAUUUAGAGGAAGGUGAAGUCGUANCA
Molecule: ribosomal RNA, 320 nt
Filed under: uncultured eukaryote
Lineage: Eukaryota
Description: partial 18S ribosomal RNA
Rfam family: Eukaryotic small subunit ribosomal RNA
Source: RNAcentral